CCAAAGCCAGGCGCUGUGGCGCAUGCCAUCAUCCCAGCAUUCCGGAGGCUGAGGCAGGAGGAUCGCUGCGAGUUGGAGGCCAGCCUGGGCUACAUAGUUCGAGACCAGCUGGAACUACAUAGCGAGACUGCCUCAAGAAACCAAAAACAGGUCUCACUGUGUAGCUCAGGCUAGCCUCAAGCUUGCAGCGAUCCUCCUGUCUUGGCUUCCCGAGUGCUGGGACUGCAGAAGUGGGCCUCCACACUGAGCACCACCCAGCCCACUUUUCUGAUGAAGCAACCAGGCCUAGGGAGGCCCUGCCGACUGGCUCACUGGCUUCUCCCAGGCCAUCUUUUGUUUUCACUGGACUUCCAGAGCAGCUGGUCCACACUGACCUUCUUCAUGUUCUGUUGAACUCCCUGUGCAUCUGGUCCCUGAGUCCAGCCCCCAGCCUCACCUGUCUGCUCUGCACACGUGUAUCCUCAACUAAUUAGGCUGGGAGCCCUGGAAACACUGGCUAGCGGGGAGGGUCAGAGAACACAGCCUGGCCAAUCAGAACAUCCCAAGUCCCUAGAUGUAGUGACUGAUUUGGGGGACAGCCAAUGAGAUUCUGCUCUAGGACUUUUGGUGGAAUUAUGGGAAAAGAGACACUGAUUCCUGAGGCUGGAGGUUGUUGGGAUGGAAAUGCAGGCUGCUGAUGACCACUCCCCCCCCCUCCAUGUGAAUACACACAAUCUGAUGUCAAGCAGAAGUGAAGUCCCCAGGGAGGAAAACAUUAGACAAGCAGAGAAAGACACAACUCCCCACACACACACCAUUUGAGCACCUGGAUCCAACCAUGCCUGAAACUUCUCUGGCCCCUAAAUAACUUUUCAGCUCACCGAGCCUAUAAAUCUGUCCGCUUAAAUAAAGGUUUCUAUCACCUGCAACUUAAAAAUAGCCAAUUCUUGAUCCUGAGAUUCUGAUAUGCAUUUUGCACACGUGGGUGGACAGACCCUCAAAGAUGCAGCCAACGAUCACAUCGCUGGUGAGGCAUGGAGGCUGGAUGGGAACUCAGGCC
RNAcentral lists this long non-coding RNA (1039 nucleotides) under Heterocephalus glaber (naked mole-rat). Its description in RNAcentral is "lncRNA (ENSHGLG00000041899.1)". Lineage: Eukaryota; Metazoa; Chordata; Mammalia; Rodentia; Bathyergidae. The record is from RNAcentral.